RNAcentral lists this long non-coding RNA (389 nucleotides) under Sorghum bicolor (sorghum). RNAcentral describes it as "long non-coding RNA (SBIC_LNC016235)". The record is from RNAcentral. Lineage: Eukaryota; Viridiplantae; Streptophyta; Magnoliopsida; Poales; Poaceae.
UGCAGAGAUCUUUUUCUUUUUCUUUUUAUGCAAUUUUUGUUUGAUGUUUGAAAUUAUGUGAUAAAUUGUGUGCUAAUCCAAAAAUGAUGAAAGUUUUUGUAUAGGUUCCAUGAAGUGGGUAGAACACAAGAAAAAUAGUGGAUUCUGUUUUCUGGUAGUUUACAUGUCUGUAAAAAUUUGCUCUUUUAAUUAGUGAAUAAAACUUCUAGGAAUUUUAAUAAUUUAUUUGUAUGUCCAAAAAUCACCAAAAAUUGUGGGGAGCCUCUGAAUAUUAUUCCCUGGCUCCACACAAAAUUUGGUGGCAUUUGGAUAAUAUUUGAUUAAAAUACUAAUAAAUCCUUAUUUAGCACUUAAAUAAUAAUUCCAAAAUAAUUAAAUAGUGAUUAUUU